CCCACGCUAAUCAUUUGGAGCAAAUGCAGAACAAUCCAAAGCACAUAAAAUCAUGAAUUAAUCUAAUAGUAAUUAACAAUUGCAAUAAAACAAAAAUAAUGAAAUUCCUUCAAUUUUGCCUAUGGGAUUACACCAAUUAUUCGUUCCUUUACCUUUUACAUGUUUUCAUCAAUUUCUUCCUCCACCAUUUCACAAAAAGAAGAAGAAGGAAAUACACACUUAUAUGUGUUGUUUCCAAUAGAAUAAACACAAUAAAUUCAAACUUGCAAUUCAGCCUCAUGUUUCAAUGUACGCUCCUGUAAUUAAACAAACCAAUAAUAGCCAUCAAACAAAAGUAAUGACAAAACAGGUGAUAUAUGAACAAUUUCCAAUAAUUCUUAUUCCCAAGCAAAUCUGCAAAUUUAUAUUAUUUAAUCAAGAAGCAGUACCUGGACAGUAAAAUAAUAUGGUAAGAAAAUAUAUCUCUGGCUUUGAAAAAUUGAUAAUAACUAUUUCAGCAACAAAUUUGGUAAAGCACAGCAGACUCAGCACCAAAUUAAAGCGUCUUUGAGCUAAAAUACUCCUUAAAACCCCAGGAAAUACAGAGUAUAGCAGUAAAUCAAAAUAGCCUCGAAAUUCUUCUUCGCUACAAUUUGAAUUUCUAGAUCUAAAAGAACAGCUUAGUCACUCCGCUGCUAUUUUUUUCGAACUCUUAAGCUCUCAUAUCUUCGUUUUAAUUCUCAAAAAUCUAGAUUUGUUGUUGAAGUUCUUUUGAAUUUUGAAGGUUGCUUCGAUUUUUUCGUGUGUCGAAGAAUGGGAGAGGUCAGAAGAGAAUAAUGUGUUAGAGGAGGGUGGGCAGCUAGGUUUUUGGGUGUAGAAGAAGGAGGGGUCGGUGGCUGGGUUUCAUCCAAAAAAAAUAGGAGGGGUGGCGUCGUCCUUCUCUGCUGAAGAAGGAGGAGUUAGGGGCGCUAGGGUUUUCUUUUUGGGGUGGGGGUCCGAUAUUUUGUGUCUG
This 991-nucleotide long non-coding RNA is filed under the name Nicotiana tabacum (common tobacco). Its description in RNAcentral is "long non-coding RNA (NTAB_LNC018532)". Lineage: Eukaryota; Viridiplantae; Streptophyta; Magnoliopsida; Solanales; Solanaceae. The record is from RNAcentral.